UUCGUCGGACUCGUCAACCGGGCGACCGACCCAUGAGCAGGAUGAAGCGAAAGUAAAAUUGCGUGGAGGUCCGAACCCACGGGCGUUGAAAAGCUCGGGGAUGACUUGUGGGUAGCGGUGAAAUUCCAAUCGAGCCCGGAGAUAGCUGGUUC
This 152-nucleotide ribosomal RNA is filed under the name Clostridioides difficile. Its description in RNAcentral is "partial 23S ribosomal RNA". It matches the Rfam family "Bacterial large subunit ribosomal RNA", at positions 705 to 855 of the family's 2925-position model. Lineage: Bacteria; Bacillati; Bacillota; Clostridia; Peptostreptococcales; Peptostreptococcaceae. The record is from RNAcentral.